UUGCGCUAGUCCACACAGACUACACGCUCAUCCUCGCAAUACCCCAGUGGUCAGCGUUUACCCAUCCUUCUCCCCACGGAAGUCUCUCUUCAACAUCACACGCGAGAACAAUUCUCCAACUUCAGUUCACGUGCGCCCGAGCCGCGUCGCGCGCGCUCACGUUCCGCAUCAUUCGUCGACGGUUAGACGCACGCAGAAAACCGUUGAAACCGGUACUUGGCAGGCUGUGUUGUGGCGGAGAAGCAAAGAGGAAAAGAAGCAGAGAUAGAGAGAGAGAAGGUGAAAAGAAGAAGAACAUUUCUACUCGCCGAGCUCCUUUUUUCCUCUGUCAAGCGUGUUUCAUCCCCUGUGUGGUGAAAAGCACAGAGCUGCGUGGGACCGAUUUCCCGCCGCUGCACGGAGACACGAGGCGUCCUCUGAAAGGUCUCUGUAUUUCGGCCCUGAAGGAUGACAAAUCGUACAUAGUUGAAUAUCAAUUUAUCAACACAUCAUUCAGACGAAUCGGUUCAGCUUAUGAGGAAAUGCACAAAGAAAAGGU
This is a long non-coding RNA of Paramisgurnus dabryanus, 538 nucleotides long. RefSeq lists it as uncharacterized. The record is from RefSeq and is a predicted model, not a curated record. NCBI's taxonomy places the organism in Eukaryota, Metazoa, Chordata, Actinopteri, Cypriniformes, Cobitidae.